AUAAAUUCUACGAAGAGAAAAAGUAGAUAAUAAUUUUGUUCAAAAGAGAAUUGGUAUUUUGCUGAAAGCCAAUGUUCAAAAUGUUAUUGAAAAUCAUCUCUGAGAAGUAAAACUGAAACUAGUAUUAGUAAGUUUUACCGGAGUCUUUCACCGUUAAAAGACAAGCAUAUUGUUAGAUAUGUAACUAAGAGCUGUAAAUAGAUUUAUUUAUGUUAAUGUAUUUUACAGAAUUAGGGUGGUAACGCGGUUUAACCCGUCCCUUAU
This is a non-coding RNA of Clostridium tetanomorphum DSM 665, 264 nucleotides long. Lineage: Bacteria; Bacillati; Bacillota; Clostridia; Eubacteriales; Clostridiaceae. The record is from Rfam.